AGCGAACGCUGGCGGCAUGCCUAACACAUGCAAGUCGAACGAGAUCUUCGGGUCUAGUGGCGCACGGGUGCGUAACGCGUGGGAAUCUGCCCUUUGGUUCGGAAUAACAGUUGGAAACGACUGCUAAUACCGGAUGAUGACGAAAGUCCAAAGAUUUAUCGCCAGAGGAUGAGCCCGCGUAGGAUUAGCUAGUUGGUGUGGUAAAGGCGCACCAAGGCGACGAUCCUUAGCUGGUCUGAGAGGAUGAUCAGCCACACUGGGACUGAGACACGGCCCAGACUCCUACGGGAGGCAGCAGUGGGGAAUACUGGACAAUGGGCGAAAGCCUGAUCCAGCAAUGCCGCGUGAGUGAUGAAGGCCUUAGGGUUGUAAAGCUCUUUUACCCGGGAUGAUAAUGACAGUACCGGGAGAAUAAGCUCCGGCUAACUCCGUGCCAGCCGCCGCGGUAA
Molecule: ribosomal RNA, 449 nt
Filed under: uncultured bacterium
Lineage: Bacteria
Description: partial 16S ribosomal RNA
Rfam family: Bacterial small subunit ribosomal RNA
Source: RNAcentral